CAGAUCCUACGGGAGGCAGCAGUGAGGAAUAUUGGUCAAUGGACGCAAGUCUGAACCAGCCAAGUAGCGUGCAGGAUGACGGCCCUCCGGGUUGUAAACUGCUUUUAGUUGGGAAUAAAAGGGGGCUCGUGAGCCCCGUAUUGUAUGUACCAUCAGAAAAAGGACCGGCUAAUUCCGUGCCAGCAGCCGCGGUAAUACGGAAGGUCCGGGCGAUAUCCGGAUUUAUUGGGUUUAAAGGGAGCGUAGGCCGGCUUAUAAGACAGCUGUGAAAGUCCGCGGCUCAACCGUGAAAU
This 293-nucleotide ribosomal RNA is filed under the name uncultured bacterium. RNAcentral describes it as "partial 16S ribosomal RNA". It matches the Rfam family "Bacterial small subunit ribosomal RNA", at positions 332 to 621 of the family's 1533-position model. The record is from RNAcentral.